CCCAUUGAUUGACGGUGCUUGCACCUGAUUGAUUUUCGUUGCCAACGAGUGGCGGACGGGUGAGUAACACGUAGGUAACCUGCCCAGAAGCGGGGGACAACAUUUGGAAACAGAUGCUAAUACCGCAUAACAACGUUGUUCGCAUGAACAACGCUUAAAAGAUGGCUUCUCGCUAUCACUUCUGGAUGGACCUGCGGUGCAUUAGCUUGUUGGUGGGGUAACGGCCUACCAAGGCGAUGAUGCAUAGCCGAGUUGAGAGACUGAUCGGCCACAAUGGGACUGAGACACGGCCCAUACUCCUACGGGAGGCAGCAGUAGGGAAUCUUCCACAAUGGGCGCAAGCCUGAUGGAGCAACACCGCGUGAGUGAAGAAGGGUUUCGGCUCGUAAAGCUCUGUUGUUAAAGAAGAACACGUAUGAGAGUAACUGUUCAUACGUUGACGGUAUUUAACCAGAAAGUCACGGCUAACUACGUGCCAGCAGCCGCGGUAAUACGUAGGUGGCAAGCGUUAUCCGGAUUUAUUGGGCGUAAAGAGAGUGCAGGCGGUUUUCUAAGUCUGAUGUGAAAGCCUUCGGCUUAACCGGAGAAGUGCAUCGGAAACUGGAUAACUUGAGUGCAGAAGAGGGUAGUGGAACUCCAUGUGUAGCGGUGGAAUGCGUAGAUAUAUGGAAGAACACCAGUGGCGAAGGCGGCUACCUGGUCUGCAACUGACGCUGAGACUCGAAAGCAUGGGUAGCGAACAGGAUUAGAUACCCUGGUAGUCCAUGCCGUAAACGAUGAGU
RNAcentral lists this ribosomal RNA (782 nucleotides) under uncultured bacterium. Its description in RNAcentral is "bacterial SSU rRNA". It matches the Rfam family "Bacterial small subunit ribosomal RNA", at positions 62 to 814 of the family's 1533-position model. The record is from RNAcentral.